GUGGGGAAUAUUGGACAAUGGGCGCAAGCCUGAUCCAGCCAUGCCGCGUGAGUGAUGAAGGCCCUAGGGUUGUAAAGCUCUUUCACCGGUGAAGAUAAUGACGGUAACCGGAGAAGAAGCCCCGGCUAACUUCGUGCCAGCAGCCGCGGUAAUACGAAGGGGGCUAGCGUUGUUCGGAAUUACUGGGCGUAAAGCGCACGUAGGCGGGUAUUUAAGUCAGGGGUGAAAUCCCGGAGCUCAACUCCGGAACUGCCUUUGAUACUGGGUACCUAGAGUAUGGAAGAGGUAAGUGGAAUUCAGAGUGUAGAGGUGAAAUUCGUAGAUAUUCGGAGGAACACCAGUGGCGAAGGCGGCUUACUGGUCCAUUACUGACGCUGAGGUGCGAAAGCGUGGGGAGCAAACAGGAUUAGAAACCCCUGUAGUCC
RNAcentral lists this ribosomal RNA (425 nucleotides) under uncultured bacterium. RNAcentral describes it as "partial 16S ribosomal RNA". It matches the Rfam family "Bacterial small subunit ribosomal RNA", at positions 354 to 796 of the family's 1533-position model. The record is from RNAcentral.